Phascolarctos cinereus (koala) is the source of this 88-nucleotide small nuclear RNA. The record is from Ensembl. NCBI's taxonomy places the organism in Eukaryota, Metazoa, Chordata, Mammalia, Diprotodontia, Phascolarctidae.
GUGCUUUAACAGCACAUGUACUAAGAGAAAAUUUACAUUGCUUCUGUGCAAGGAUGGCAUGUAGAUUCAUGAAAUAUUCAAUAUUUUU